RNAcentral lists this ribosomal RNA (365 nucleotides) under Leptospira borgpetersenii serovar Ballum. Its description in RNAcentral is "partial 23S ribosomal RNA". It matches the Rfam family "Bacterial large subunit ribosomal RNA", at positions 605 to 971 of the family's 2925-position model. Lineage: Bacteria; Pseudomonadati; Spirochaetota; Leptospiria; Leptospirales; Leptospiraceae. The record is from RNAcentral.
CUUUUGUAUAAUGGGUCAGCGACUUAUAUUUUGUAGCAAGGUUAACCGAAUAGAGGAGCCGUAGGGAAACCGAGUCUUAACUGGGCGUCUAGUUGCAAGGUAUAGACCCGAAACCCGGUGAUCUAGCCAUGGGCAGGUUGAAGGUUGGGUAACACUAACUGGAGGACCGAACCGACUAAUGUUGAAAAAUUAGCGGAUGACUUGUGGCUGGGGGUGAAAGGCCAAUCAAACCGGGAGAUAGCUGGUUCUCCCCGAAAGCUAUUUAGGUAGCGCCUCGUGAACUCAUCUUCGGGGGUAGAGCACUGUUUCGGCUAGGGGGCCAUCCCGGCUUACCAAACCGAUGCAAACUCCGAAUACCGAAGAAU